UGGGGAAUUUUGGACAAUGGGCGCAAGCCUGAUCCAGCCAUGCCGCGUGUGUGAAGAAGGCCUUCGGGUUGUAAAGCACUUUCGGCCGGAACGAAAUCGCCUACGUUAAUAGCGGAGGUGGAUGACGGUACCGGAAGAAGAAGCACCGGCUAACUACGUGCCAGCAGCCGCGGUAAUACGUAGGGUGCGAGCGUUAAUCGGAAUUACUGGGCGUAAAGGGUGCGCAGGCGGCGUCGCAAGUCAGGCGUGAAAUCCCCGGGCUUAACCUGGGAACUGCACUUGAAACUACGAUGCUGGAGUAUGGCAGAGGGAGGUGGAAUUCCACGUGUAGCGGUGAAAUGCGUAGAGAUGUGGAGGAACACCGAUGGCGAAGGCAGCCUCCUGGGCCAAUACUGACGCUCAUGCACGAAAGCGUGGGGAGCAAACAG
Molecule: ribosomal RNA, 428 nt
Filed under: uncultured bacterium
Lineage: Bacteria
Description: bacterial SSU rRNA
Rfam family: Bacterial small subunit ribosomal RNA
Source: RNAcentral